Molecule: ribosomal RNA, 459 nt
Filed under: Triticum aestivum (bread wheat)
Lineage: Eukaryota; Viridiplantae; Streptophyta; Magnoliopsida; Poales; Poaceae
Description: partial small subunit ribosomal RNA
Source: RNAcentral
AUGCAUGUCAAGCUAACUAACUCCAACACACACACACGGACUCACGCACACACACACGCACCUACGAACCUGACGCGGCCACACACCGCCCACACACACAGGCCACACUGCUGCGUCCGGCACGUUCCGCUCGUCCCACGCGCCACCGACAAGCCUGACGAGCCCGAUGACACCAGUCCCGACCACAUACGCCGUGGCUUAUUCCAACACACACCCCCUAGGCCACGGCCUAGAGGAGUCCGUCGUCGUCGACGUUGGCGCCAGCCAAGAGAGCCUGCUCCGCCGCCGGUCCUUUCCGCAGCUGCGGGCACUCGCGCCGGAAGUGCCCGUGCUCCCCGAACUUGUAGCAGCGCCUGCGCCUGUUUCCGCCGCUCCCCGACGCCAUGCUGCGCCCGUCGUCGUCGUCCCGAGCACCGCCGUGUUGACGCUCCCGUGCUGCCCACUGCGCCGCCGUCAUGA